RNAcentral lists this ribosomal RNA (429 nucleotides) under Chloroflexota bacterium. RNAcentral describes it as "Chloroflexi bacterium partial 16S ribosomal RNA". It matches the Rfam family "Bacterial small subunit ribosomal RNA", at positions 355 to 776 of the family's 1533-position model. The record is from RNAcentral. Lineage: Bacteria; Bacillati; Chloroflexota.
UGGGGAAUAUUGCACAAUGGGCGCAAGCCUGAUGCAGCCAUGCCGCGUGUGUGAAGAAGGCCUUCGGGUUGUAAAGCACUUUCAGCGGGGAGGAAGGCGAUAAGGUUAAUAACCUCAUCGAUUGACGUUACCCGCAGAAGAAGCACCGGCUAACUCCGUGCCAGCAGCCGCGGUAAUACGGAGGGUGCAAGCGUUAAUCGGAAUUACUGGGCGUAAAGCGCACGCAGGCGGUCUGUCAAGUCGGAUGUGAAAUCCCCGGGCUCAACCUGGGAACUGCAUUCGAAACUGGCAGGCUAGAGUCUUGUAGAGGGGGGUAGAAUUCCGGGUGUAGCGGUGAAAUGCGUAGAGAUCUGGAGGAAUACCGGUGGCGAAGGCGGCCCCCUGGACAAAGACUGACGCUCAGGUGCGAAAGCGUGGGGAGCAAACAGG